RNAcentral lists this long non-coding RNA (1000 nucleotides) under Bos indicus x Bos taurus (hybrid cattle). RNAcentral's name for it is "lncRNA (ENSBIXG00000010958.1)". Lineage: Eukaryota; Metazoa; Chordata; Mammalia; Artiodactyla; Bovidae. The record is from RNAcentral.
CUAGCACCCCCAUGUCCACUCCACCCAACCCCAGGCAGGAGCCUGGCAAGUAGGCAGCACUCUGGGAAGGGAACCAUCUCAACCUGUCUUCCUGUGUCCUCUGCCUGAGACCUGAUGACAAAGCAGCCACCUUCCUCCUCUUUCCAGCUCUUCUGUCUGUUUUCCAGCAAGGCAGGACAAGCAUUUCUAGAGUGACCUGGGGUGAUGGUGUGAGUCACAGUCAUUGAGAACGAAUGCCCCUUGCUUUCAGGACAGCUGGGAGAGGGUGCAGUGCUGGGCACACGGCCACCUGUUUCAGGCAAACAAUUUCAUUGGAUCCUCACCUUACCUAAAGGAAAGCGGAGACUGUCCCUGUUUUAUAGAAGAAAACAGAGGAGCCAAGGUGGGAUCCCUGGGCUGUGCUUGUCCUUUUGUCUCUGUAACCGAGGGCAUCCUUAGCCCAGGUCAGCCUUCUUGGAAUCAUUCAACUGCGCAGUCAGGAGGAGGGGCUGGACUGGGCCAGGCAGCUUGUGCCUUCUCUGGACUUGGGCUCUGUGCUCUGGCCCAGCAAGAUUAGCAGCCUUCACGAAGGACAUUUUUCUCCCGCAGAUUCUCGAUUUAUCAUCAGAGCGCUUUUGGGGUUUGAGAAAUCUAGCUGUCACGUGACACUGCACUUCCAAGCCCCCAGGCUCAGAUACGGUGAACAAAUGACCAGGAGAGACCCGGGUAGCCCUGCUCCAUGCCCGCAGGCUUUGGCACUGGGGGAAUGGAAGAAGAUCCAUUUGCCAACUUGGCUCUUCUUGCCAACUCUAAGCAAAACUUGGCUUCAGAAAUGAUGAAACGCAUCCCAGUGACAUGACUGCCAAGCUGGGGGACACAGCAGGGUCCCUGGAGACCCAGAGCACGUUAAAUGGGAGUAAUUUCCUGACUAACCCCUGAUUCUCCUGGAGGUGGCUCCUGGAAUAUUGCUGAGUUUCCGGUUUGGCUGCUUUGGUCUGAAAUGGCAAACAUGUGCUCCCAC